UGGGGAAUAUUGCACAAUGGGGGGAACCCUGAUGCAGCAACGCCGCGUGAGUGAAGAAGUAUUUCGGUAUGUAAAGCUCUAUCAGCAGGGAAGAAAAAAGACGGUACCUGACUAAGAAGCCCCGGCUAACUACGUGCCAGCAGCCGCGGUAAUACGUAGGGGGCAAGCGUUAUCCGGAUUUACUGGGUGUAAAGGGAGCGCAGGCGGUGCGGCAAGUCAGAUGUGAAAACCCAGGGCUUAACCUUGGGACUGCAUUUGAAACUGUCGAACUAGAGUGUCGGAGAGGUAAGCGGAAUUCCUAGUGUAGCGGUGAAAUGCGUAGAUAUUAGGAAGAACACCGGUGGCGAAGGCGGCUUACUGGACGAUAACUGACGCUGAGGCUCGAAAGCGUGGGGAGCAAACAGG
RNAcentral lists this ribosomal RNA (405 nucleotides) under uncultured bacterium. RNAcentral describes it as "bacterial SSU rRNA". It matches the Rfam family "Bacterial small subunit ribosomal RNA", at positions 355 to 776 of the family's 1533-position model. The record is from RNAcentral.